AGAGUUUGAUCMUGGCUCAGGAUGAACGCUGGCGGCGUGCUUAACACAUGCAAGUCGAGCGAGAGAGUUYCUUCGGGAACAAUCUAGCGGCGGACGGGUGAGUAACACGUGGGCAACCUGCCUCAUAGAGGGGAAUAGCCUUCCGAAAGGGAGAUUAAUACCGCAUAACAUCAUUGGAUGGCAUCAUUUAAUGAUCAAAGGAGUAAUCCGCUAUGAGAUGGGCCCGCGGCGCAUUAGCUAGUUGGUGAGGUAACGGCUCACCAAGGCGACGAUGCGUAGCCGACCUGAGAGGGUGAUCGGCCACAUUGGGACUGAGACACGGCCCAGACUCUACGGGAGGCAGCAGUGGGGAAUAUUGCAYAAUGGGGGAAACCCUGAUGCAGCAACGCCGCGUGAGUGAUGAAGGUCUUCGGAUUGUAAAGCUCUGUCUUCAGGGACGAUAAUGACGGUACCUGAGGAGGAAGCCACGGCUAACUACGUGCCAGCAGCCGCGGUAAU
This 498-nucleotide ribosomal RNA is filed under the name uncultured bacterium. RNAcentral's name for it is "bacterial SSU rRNA". It matches the Rfam family "Bacterial small subunit ribosomal RNA", at positions 8 to 524 of the family's 1533-position model. The record is from RNAcentral.